Molecule: long non-coding RNA, 1149 nt
Organism: Zalophus californianus (California sea lion)
Lineage: Eukaryota; Metazoa; Chordata; Mammalia; Carnivora; Otariidae
Exons: 3
Source: RefSeq, a predicted model, not a curated record
GACAGCACCUCAGGCGGCCUUGCCAGGAGCCACCGGGUUUCAUCCUGGCCUGACCCAGAAAAAUCUUAUGGAAGAGAACAAGAGGCCCAAGAGCUCUCUGAUCUGCUGUCAACCAGCUGCAGGCGGGAGACUGCCAAAGUGCUGCAGUGACUAGGCAGCGCCCCACAGAGCCGUCUGGGAGGGGAUUACCAGCCUGAUCCCCGGUCUUCAGAGCCAGAAAUGACUCAAACUUCACAAACAGCAAAGGCCUGCCAGGGAGGGUGACAAUGAGCACUAGAGAGGGUUUUCUUGCCCUUGUUGCUGUCUCCAUGGCCCCCCACCCCCCUCGCUGCUGUGGCAGAGAUUCUGGACAGUGUGCAGCCUGUGAGGUAAUCUGAAUUCCUUGGCAACCAGCAAGUACCUGAAUUCUUUCAAAACCACAGGAAUCCAGCAGAGAAAAGAGGUCAUGGACUCUGGACAACUGGCAAAGAAUGACUGGCAUCCUGACAAGACUGAAACCAAGAGACUCCUUUUUACUAUCACAUCUUCCCUGUCCCCCCUUUUCCACAAACACAAGCCUUCUGUGGGCAAACACUGUACUGUCAAUGGUCCCAGCUGGAACAAUGAGUGCUAUCGGAGAAAUAGCCUCACCAAGGUGAAGCAGGAGAUCCUGAUGACGGAAAUCCCAGAGGAUGAACACCCCAAUGGGCAACCAGACCCAGACUGUUAAGUCUAACAGGUUAAGAAAACCACAAGUCAGGAAGUCUAGAGAGAACUUUCUCUUCCUCUCUCCAUGCUUCCUAAAACAGGAAGUCUCUCUCUUGGACUUACUGAGAAGAUAGAUAUCUAUGUGUCUGUCCUCCCAGACCCUCCUCAGAGAAGAGGCCUCUCUCACUGGUGAUACCGGGAAAUAGACACUAUGCACGCACGGCUCUGGGUCUUGAAGCAGUAAGGCCCAGUGGUGAAGAGCAUGGCCUCUGAAGCCAAACUGCAGAGUCUGAACCACCAUUUGCAAGCUACAUAACUUACAGAAAGCUCCUGACCUCUCAGUACCUCUUCAUCUGUAAAACUGGGAAUAACAAUGGUACCUACCUCAGAGUAGAAAUGCCACUUAGAAGAGGGCCUAACAGAAAGGAAAUGUUCGUUCCAUGUUAGCUUUUAUUAUUACUA